UAUGUGUCUAUUUUAUUUUGGUCCCAAGAGAAAAGCAAUCUAACUUUUAUGAGAAGGUGGCGCUGUUGCAGCAACACAUUUUCCUUUCAGAAUACGAGAAUGAAAACUUGGAGGCAGAGAAACAUGAUUGCAGCUGUUCUGCUGCUGUGUGCUGUCGGAGUGCUCUGCUCUGAUGAUGU
Molecule: long non-coding RNA, 179 nt
Organism: Pundamilia nyererei
Lineage: Eukaryota; Metazoa; Chordata; Actinopteri; Cichliformes; Cichlidae
Exons: 3
Source: RefSeq, a predicted model, not a curated record